AUCUAAAUUAGGAUAAUGUUUGUGGGUUUUCUUCGAAAAACUUCACAUGUAUUUCAAUAACCUUGCCUCCUUUUAUAUACAAAUUACAUACUCCUAUUUAACAAAUUGAAAUCACAUAUCUCCUAAUCAAUUACAACUAUUAUCAAAUCAAAUCUUCCUAAUUAUAAAAUAUUAAAUCAAAUAUGUAAUAAAUUUGUGUAAUAAAUCUGUAACAAAUCUACCUAUAUUGGUUCUCCACACUCUCUCUCAAUAUGUGGUAGAUGCUUUCCAACUAAAGGAUCAUGUUCUUCUCAUUUAGAUUAUGUCUGAAAGGUUGAUGCUUUGAUGGAAUGCAGUUGAGGGUGAUUGACUUAUCUUCAAUUUUUUCACUAAUGAAAUGUCGAUCAAUCUCCAUAUGUUUGGUACGAUCAUGGUGGACAGGAUUCUUGGCAAUUGUAAUAGCUGAUUGAUUACCACAUAAGAUUUGAGCAGAUUCUGAUGUCUCAACUUUGAAAUUGUUUAAUAGCCAUUUUAGCCAUAUCCCCUCGCAAAUACGUGAGGCUAGUGCUCUAAAUUCAACUUCUGCACUACUAGCGACCACAUUUUGUUUCUUGAUUUGCUAUGUUACUAGGUUUCCCUAGAUAAAAGAGCAAUACCCUGAUGUAGACCUUCUAUCAUUUAGAGACCCUACCCAAUCAGUAUCGACAUUGGUAUAUACUUUUAAAGAUCCGCUUCUUGAUUUCUUGACCAUACAACCUUUUCAUGGAUUGCUCUUCAUGUAUCUCAAUAUACGAUUCACUGCCUCUAUGUGAUCCAUAGAUGGAUUACUUUGAAAUUAACUCACCCAACUUAUUGAAAAACUUGUGUUCAGACAUGUAUGAGUUAUGUAGAACUUACUUGCUAACUGUUGAUAUUGUCUCUUGUCAACCGCUAAUUCAUCAAUUCUAGACAUAAGUCUAGUAUUGGGAUCCAUGGGAGUUUUAACCGGCUUACACCACUCAUCCCAGUUUCAACAAAUCAAGUACGUAUUUGCAUUGGGAAACAAAUAUGCCUUUGUUGCUUUAUGCCGCUUCCAUUCCCAAGAAAUGCUUCAAGUGCCCCAAGUCUUUGGUCUCGAAUUCUUUGGAUAUGAGAGACUUGAGUUUUCUAAUUUCAUCACCAUGAUUUUAUGAAAGGACAAUGCCAUCAACAUACAUAAUCAAAACUGUGAUAUUCCCAUCUGGGAAGUAUUUAGUGAACAAAGUGUGAUCAACUUGUGAGUGAGAGUAUCAUCAUUCUUUAAGACUUUUAUGAACCAUGCUUUUGGUAACUGUUUCAGCCCAUACAAUGUCUUUCAAGUUUGCAUAAUUUUCUUUUGUAUCACUUGUCUCAAAGCUUGGGAUGUCUAUAUAUACUUCUUAAGGAAGACAAUUUUAACAUCGAGCUGAUACAAUGACCACUUUAAGUUGGCAGCAAUGGAACACAAACCGUGUUGAGUUUAGACAUUGACGCAAAGGUCUCGAGAUAAUCAAUUCCAUAUGAUUGAGUAUAUCCUUUCGUCACUAGGCGUGCUUUGUACCGGUCUAUGCUCCCAUCUGCAUUUUGUUUAAUUGAGAACCACCAUCUACACCCCACAAAACUUUCCUGGUGGAGCUUUGUUAUCACCCACGUGCCAUUUUUUUCUAGUGCAUUAUAUUCUUCGAGAGUCGCCUUCUUCCAUUCAGAAAUUUUAAGAGCUUUUUCCACAUAGUUAGAAAUAUUGAUUUUGUCUAAAGAGGUCACAAAUGCAUGAAAUAAUGGCGAUAAUUUCGUGUAGGAAAUGCAACUGUGAAGAGGGUAUUGAGUGCAUGAUGUUAUACCUUUCUUGUGUGCAAUUGGUAAAUUUAAUGUAAAAUUCAGCCGUGGACUAGAAUAUGUUGUCUCCUGAUUCAACUUCAAUUUGGCUUGGGGAAUUCUCUUGGCAGUGUUGAGAUAGUACUGCCAUUCGAUGUUUCCUUCUUUCAUACACUAGUAGGAGAAUAAGGAGGGUGACUAUCAAGAUUUGGAGAUAGUGGAUCACUAGAUUUUGGGAAAGGUUGAAUGGAAGACUCAGAUGGUGAUGCCCAAGAAGGGAUGCCCACUCCCAAUACUGCAAUUGACUGGUAUUGUUUUCCCCAGAAUUGUAGUAUUAGCGUAGUAAGGGAUAGUGUUGAGGACCGUUCCAUUAUGGAGAACAUCCAUCUUGCCCAGUGCUCUUGAGGAAGUACGCAAGAAAGAGGACUUCAGCACGGUGUGUACUUAAGGUCGAUCUCCAGAAGCCGUUGUUUUUGCUUGUUACACUUUGGCGGUUUGGAUUUCCGAAGCGGUACGUCACAUGGAUAAAGGAAUGUAUAGCCAUAGUCUCCUACUCGGUGGAUAUUAAUGGAGCAAUGCAUAUAUUCUUUAAAGGGAGGAGAGGCUUGAGGCAAGGUGAUCCACUAUCACUCUUUCUUGAGGCAAGGUGAUCCACUAUCACUCUCUCUUUGGAUUAUGUUUAGAGGUGUUCUCGAGAAUGCUCAGAUCUACUGCUAUUAAGCUGGCCUUUCACUAUCAUCCUAUGUGUGCUCACAUCGGUAUCACUCACCUAGCGUGUGCGGAUGAUCUCUUACUCUUCGUUAGGGCCGAUGAUCCAACAAUCAACUUGAUUGCGGACUCCUUAAGGCAGUUUGGACAGGUUGCAGGGCUGCAUCCUAACCUCAUCAAAUUCAAUCUAUUCAUGGCUAUAAUUGAUGAUCGCACAAUAAGUAGAUUGAUGGAAAUCACAAGUUUUCAGAGGUUCUUUUCCGUUCCAAUACUUGGACAUUCCCCUUGUGGCGGAGAAGUUGAGGAUCUGCAAUUAUGGUCCUUUCACAAGGCUAUGUUGCGAAAACUUGUUUCAUGGCUAAACAAACUUUAUCAUAUGCCAGCAAGCUCGAAUUGGUCACUAGUGCUCCAAGGUAUCAAAUGUUUUUGGCUUUCCAUCUUACCAAUCUCUUGUACAGAGAUAGACAAGAUAUAUGCUAUUUGUCGCUUCUUUGUAUGGUCCGCCAAGCAUCUUCCCAUCUCUUGGGCCACCAUGUGCUUAGCAAAAGAUGAAGGGGGAUACAGACUGUGUGAUCUCAAGACAUGGAAUUCUGCAGUCCAAGUCCUUGUGGAACAUCCAGCUAAAGGACUCCCUUUGGGUGUGGUGGGUUCACCACCAAUACCUCUAACACACCAACAUCUGGGAGCGACAAGCGAAACCUGACAGUUCCCACAUAAAAAACUGAUCCAAAUCCUCCAACAGUCUGGGUUGGUUUUGCUGAGUAGGCUGCGAUAAUGUUGGGCUCAUGGUUUGAUCUAGAAUUGCGGCGUGGAGUUGUUGCAUAUGACUUCUUUAAGCCGUGGAGCGACAGGAAGGUGUGAGCAACAGUUGUGUGGAAGCCUUACAUCAUGCCUAAGUAGUUUGUCAUGUGGCAGAUUGCAAAUGGCAAAAUGCGCACCAAAGACAGAUUGUCGUAUGUAGACUGCAAAACUUGUCUGAUGUGCCAGCAGGUAGACGAGACGGUAUACCACCUUUUCUUCAUGUGUUCCAUCAUUAAACCUCUAUAGGGCAGGGCUUAAAGUUGACUACACAUUGGGCACAACUUUGGGAUAGCGGCAACCUUGUUGGAGACGUUCUAACCGGUAAUAUCAUGGAGCAUGCUCAAUAAAACACGUCACUUAGGUGUAUCUUGUAUGAUCUAUUUGAUUUGGCAAAAUCCAAAAUCGAUGUCAAUAUGAAGGGGAUGUGUCAAAACAUUAAGAGGAUGCUUAGAAAGGUUCAAACACAUGUCUUUAGCUUUUUGACUGCUUCUCAUCUAAGUCCUUGAUCAACUUUAAUACAAUUAACCUUUAUCCAAAAAAAGUAAGGGAUAGUCUCAAAGAAUGUAAUAUCUAUAGUGUUGUAGAACUUUUUGGUGAUGGGUGAAUAACAUUUACAUCCUUUUUGGUUAGAGGAAUAACUAAGAAAGAUACAUUUAUGAGCCCGAGCAUCAAACUUGCCUCGGUAUUGAGAGUGAAUAUGCACAAAAGCGAUACAUCCGAAGAGUUUAAGAGGAAGGUCGGAGUUAAGGCGAGUCUAGGGAAAUAAUUUUUGUAGUGUCUACAAUGGAGUGCGGUAUUUGAGAACUCAAGAGGGCAGGCGAUUUAUGAGGUAUGUAGCAGUGAGGAUUGUUUCUCUCCAAAAUGUGGUUGGGGUAUUGCUUGAAAUAGUAGGGAUCAAGCUAAUCCAAGAAUGUGACGAUUUUUCCAUUUGGCCACACCAUUUUAUUACGGUGUGUUAACACAGAAAUUUUGUCGGAUAAUUCCAUGAGAUUUGAGAUAUGAGCCAAGAUCAGAAGUGAAAAAAUCUUUGACAUGGUAGGUCUUGAGCAUUUUAAUAUCAUUUUUGAAUUGGUUUUUACCAUGAUAUAGAAGUUUUGGAAGAUGUGUUUCGCUUCUGAUUUAUCUUUCAUUAGGAAUGUCUAACAUAAUCUAGUGUGAUCAUCAACUAAUAGUAGGAACCACCUUGAGCUUGUGAGACUCGGGGUAUAAAAUGGUCCCCAUAUGUCACCAUGGAUGAGAGAAAAAGGAUGUGUAUGCUUAUAUUACCUGGGAGAGUAAGUGUUUUGAGUAUGUUUUACAAUUUCACAAAUUUUGCACUAAAACAAACUCGGAUUUUUAUUAAUAAUGAGUGAGGGAAAUAAGUACCUUAAAUAUGAAAAAUUGGGAUGACCAAGUCGAAAGUGUCACUUCAUAAUAUCACUUUCUUUAUUCGAUCAGCAAGACUCAAUUGACAUUUGUGACUAAGUCGAAAGUGUCAUAUUAUUAUAUCACUUUCUUUAUUCGACCAGCCGGAUUCAAUUGACAUUUGUGACUAACUAAAUGACUUGAACAUAGAUAUACAUUAAGUAAAGACCUUCACACUAUCAAUCGUCUUCCUGGUGCUCAAAUUCUGAAACACACAAGAGUAGAAAGGAAUUUAGUCUCACAAUUGAGAUCUUUAUUUAAUCUAUUAACCGACACAAGAUUAUAAUCAAGGUCAGGAACUAAUAACACAGAAUAUAGAGUUAGUGUGCUUAAGAAAUGAAUGAUUCUCGUCCCAACUACUUUAGCACAUGUCCCAUUUGCUAUACGCACCCAUUGAGAUUUGUCAUAGUGAAAAAGUGGAGAAAAGUGAUCUAUCACCUUUCAUGUGCUCUGAAGUGCCAAAAUCCGUAAUUCAAGGAAAUGGGCUAUGUUGCACGGACACUUGCAGGGUUUUUUUUUUUUUCAAGUAUCGGACACGGACACGACAUGGAUACGGACACGAUACGCAAAUACGCGUGUCGGAUACGGCAAAAUCCGUGUCAUUGACUUUUUUAAAGUUUGACCAGCCGGAUACGGUUAGGAUACGGCUAGGACACGGAUGAGACACGUUUUCGGAUAUAUUUGGGCUCAAAUGUAAAAAACCUAAAAAUUAUAAGGCUCAAAUUGAAAAAUAAUAAAUUUCUAAGGAUUGAUUAAUAAAUAAAUUAAAAUGAAUUUGACAUAACAAAACCCUAAAUUCCUUUGGUUUUGUAUUGCUCCUGAUUAUUUCCUCCCGACUCUCACCGCUGCAAACCUUCGCCCGUUCGCCGCCUUGCUGCAAACCUUCGCCGCCUCGCUGCAAAGUGCAAACCUUCGCCGGUGCUCGCUGCAAACCUUCCCCGCUGCUCGUGCAAACCUUCGCCGCUGCUCUGCUCUCGCCGCUUCUCUUUUCACCUCGCUUCGCCUGCUCUGCUCGCCUCGCCACUGUUAUGCUCGCCUCUGCUCGCCUCUGCUCGCCGUGCUCGCCUCUGCUCGCCGUGCUCGCCUCUGCUCGCCGUGCUCGCCUCUGCUCGCCUCGUCACUACUCGCUGCCGCCCUCUAUUUUUUGCCUAUUUGCUAUGGAAAGUUUUCAAAAUGAGAGUGGACAGGAGGAUAUUGAUGAUUAUUCUCCUCUGUGGAAAUUUGUAGCCAAGGUGGAAAAGGGAGUCGGAGGAGGAAAUGUCACUUGGUCAUGCAAUAUAUGUACUAAAGUGUGUAAAGGAUCAUAUUCGAGGGUGAAAGCACAUCUGUUAAAACAAAAAGGGGCUGGAAUUGCUGGUUGUACAGCUGUUACAAUGGAUCAAAUGAAGCGCAUGCAACAACUUGUGGAUGAUGCAGAAUUGAGAAAGAAGAAUUCUAAACCGAAAGAAGUUUCGUUGCCUUCGUCAUCUGUAUCAUCAAACAUGGCUUCAAAAUCAUCAUUUAGUGGUCCUGGUCCUUUGCAAAAUGAUGAUCCAACUCUAACAAAGAAGAAGAAAGGACAACUUGACCCUCUUGAAAAAGCUUUUAACUUGAAUGCUAGAGAUGAGCUCCACUCUGAAAUUGCAAGGCUCUUUUACACUGGGGGAUUAUCUUUCAAUAUUGCUAGGAAUCCUCAUUAUGUUCGUGCUUUCAGUUUGGCUACUCAACGAACGAUUCCGGGUUAUUUUCCACCUGGAUACAAUUUAUUGAGAACUUCACUUCUUCAAAAAGAAAAAGCUCAUAUUGAAAAGUUGUUGGAGCCAACAAAAAUUGCUUGGAAACAAAAGGGGGUUAGUAUUUGUAGUGAUGGGUGGUCGGAUGUGCAAAGAAGACCGCUAAUUAAUAUCAUAGACGUGUGUGAAAGUGGUCCUAUGUUUUUGAAGGCUAUAAAUUGUGAAGGCCAGUACAAGGAUAAAAUUUUCAUCUCUAAGUUGCUCAUUAAUGUUAUAAAUGAAGUGGGACAUCAGAAUGUUGUCCAAGUAGUCACCGAUAAUGCUCCUGUUUGCAAAGCUGCUGGGUUACUCGUUGAGGCAAAGUAUCCACACAUAUUUUGGACUCCUUGUGUUGUGCACGCAUUGAAUCUUGCUUUGAAGAAUAUUUGUGCACCAACUGACUCUCUACAAAACAAAGAAGCCUUUGAUGAGUGCAAGUGGAUAGCAGAAGUAGCAAAUGAUGCUUCAAUGAUCAAGAAUUUUAUCCUGAAUCACAAUAUGAGACUAUCGAUGUUCAACGAUAACCCAAACUUGAAGAUGCUAUCACUUGCAGAUAUUCGAUUUGCUUCCACGAUCAUUAUGCUUAAAAGGUUCAGACAAAUCAAGAAAUGUCUUGAAAACAUGGUGAUUAGUGAAAGAUGGGAUGUGUACAAGGAGGAUGAUAUAGUGAAGGCUAGAGUAGUGAAAUACAAGAUAUUGGAUGAUCAAUUUUGGGAAAAGAUUGAUUAUAUACUUGCUUUCACAAGUCCGAUUUAUGAGAUGCUAAGGAAAGCAGACACUGAUCAACCUUGUCUUCAUUUAGUCUAUGAGUGGUGGGAUGAAAUGAUAGAGAAAAUGAGAGUUGCUAUCUCAAAGGGGGCUCAUAGUGAAGAUUCAAAGUUUUAUGAGGUUGUUCAUAAUAUUCUGGUGGAGCGAUGGAAUAAAAGCAAUACAUCUUUACAUUGUUUGGCGCAUUCUUUGAAUCCAAGGUAUUAUAGCCAUGAGUGGCUCAAAGAAUCUCCCAAUCGUCUUCCUCCUUAUAGGGACAUCGAAGUUUCAAGGGAAAGGAAAAAGUGCAUUGAAAGAUAUUACUCCAAUUCAUCCGAACAAAGAAGUGUCAAUGAGGAGUUUGCCUCUUUUUCAGCUGCCAUUGAUGAUUUUUCUGAUAAUGAUGCAAUGCGUGAUCGAGGUUUAAUGUCUCCAACUAAGUGUCACUUGCGACAGUCAUAGGGUCUUCAUGCAUCGGAGGAAUAACGUGCAACUCAAUUAUAUUAUUUCAAGAUCUGCUAGUGUCAACAACACUUUCCCCUGGUGACACUGCCAACAUGUUUACUUAUGCUGUUUUGCGGUUAACACCGCAUGCUUUAUCCUCCAAGACAAGUUCUUGGUCCUAUUUAAGGAAAGGAGUUUCUUCCUCAAAUGUUUCUGUUAGAUCUGCUUCACUAAAUACUGG
This is an RNA transcript of Zingiber officinale, 7887 nucleotides long. It is a transcript of the gene named vacuolar fusion protein CCZ1 homolog, with no coding region annotated. The transcript has 5 exons. Lineage: Eukaryota; Viridiplantae; Streptophyta; Magnoliopsida; Zingiberales; Zingiberaceae. The record is from RefSeq and is a predicted model, not a curated record.